UUGUGACUCUAGGGCUGCAAUACUGCCACAACGUUAUUCAGAUGGACUGUCUUCUCUUUCAACUAUCAUCUGAGCAUUUAUUGAGGACAACUGCAAAUGAGAGGAAGACACUUCCUUCCAACGUGUGACCAGCAAAGCCACAUCUUUUGCAGAUAUGACAGGAAUUGCAAAUGCCCAGGGUGACUGACAGAGAGAAUUGGCAAUAGACCAAGCGGAAGAUGCAAGGGCAUUUUUGUUACUGGGUUGUUGUGGUGAAAGACAAACAGAAAGAAGAAGAAGAAGAAGAAGAAGAAGAAGUCAUAUCUGCCUCACAUUCUCCAUUAACACAGAUUCAUACUUCAAUGGUAUACUGUUUUCUGCCAAAAAAUAAAAAUUAAAUUUAGUUAGAGAGAAGAUGUUUCUUUAGCAGACUAAUUUACUUAAUUAGCCAUGACACCCCCUAAUGCAUUCAAAAGUAUGGAAAAACAAAGUAUGUUUCAAAUUUGUUUAAUUAUGAUAAUUAGUAAUUAUAGGAAAUGACAAUCAGUGGAAUUAGUUAAGUGUUAGAGAGAGAGUUAUUUAGUUAUUAAAAGAUUAGCAAGAAAUA
Carassius gibelio (silver crucian carp) is the source of this 586-nucleotide long non-coding RNA. RefSeq lists it as uncharacterized. NCBI's taxonomy places the organism in Eukaryota, Metazoa, Chordata, Actinopteri, Cypriniformes, Cyprinidae. The transcript is spliced from 3 exons. The record is from RefSeq and is a predicted model, not a curated record.